AACCUGGUUGAUCCUGCCAGUAGUCAUAUGCUUGUCUCAAAGACUAAGCCAUGCAUGUCUAAGUAUAAGUAUUAUACAGCGAAACUGCGAAUGGCUCAUUAAAACAGUUAUAGUUUAUUUGGUGAUCAAAUUACAUGGAUAACCGUGGUAAUUCUAGAGCUAAUACAUGCGUAAAGGGCCGCUAGGCCCGUAUUUAUUAGAUAACAGACCAAUAUUGUGGUGACUCAUAGUAACUGAUCGAAUCGCAAGGCUAUGCCGCGAUAAAUCAUUCAAGUUUCUGCCCCAUCAGCUGUAGAUGGUAGUGUAUUGGACUACCAUGGCUUUCACGGGUAACGGAGGAUUAGGGUUCGAUUCCGGAGAGGGAGCCUGAGAAACGGCUACCACAUCUAAGGAAGGCAGCAGGCGCGUAAAUUACCCAAUACUGAUUCAGUGAGGUAGUGACAAGAAAUAGCGGGCCGGCUAAUGCCGGGACUGAAAUGAAUAGAAUUUAACGACCUUUGCGAGGAACGAUUGGAGGGCAAGUCUGGUGCCAGCAGCCGCGGUAAUUCCAGCUCCAAUAGC
This 561-nucleotide ribosomal RNA is filed under the name uncultured marine eukaryote. RNAcentral describes it as "SSU rRNA". It matches the Rfam family "Eukaryotic small subunit ribosomal RNA", at positions 1 to 598 of the family's 1831-position model. The record is from RNAcentral.